CGCAGCCGCGGUAAUUCCAGCUCCAAUAGCGUAUAUUAAAGUUGUUGCAGUUAAAAAGCUCGUAGUUGAAUUUCGGGGUCAGCAAGUUGGUCGUGCCACUGGUAUGCACUGGCUUUGCUGAUUCCUCCUUCUUGAAGAACUGUAAUGCUAUUAAUUUAGUGUUGCAGGGAAACAGGACUGUUACUUUGAAAGAAUUAGAGUGUUUAAAGCAGGCUAACGCUUGAAUACAUUAGCAUGGAAUAAUGAAAUAGGACGUUUGAUCCUAUUUUGUUGGUUUCUAGGAUUGACGUAAUGAUUAAUAGGGAUAGUUGGGGGCAUUAGUAUUCAAUUGUCAGAGGUGAAAUUCUUGGAUUUAUUGAAGACUAACUACUGCGAAAGCAUUUGCCAAGGAUGUUUUCAUUAAUCAAGAACGAAAGUUAGGGGAUCGAAGACGAUCAGAUACCGUCGUAGUCUUAACCAUAAACUAUGCCGACUAGGGAUCGGAUGAUGUUAAUUUUUAAUGACUCAUUC
This 510-nucleotide ribosomal RNA is filed under the name uncultured Glomus. RNAcentral's name for it is "SSU rRNA". It matches the Rfam family "Eukaryotic small subunit ribosomal RNA", at positions 569 to 1081 of the family's 1831-position model. The record is from RNAcentral. Lineage: Eukaryota; Fungi; Glomeromycota; Glomeromycetes; Glomerales; Glomeraceae.